CCUCGCAGCGUAACCCAGCUCAGCUCAGAGCUGAGUGGGCGCAUCAUGAAUUAGAAAAGAGUCUUUGGAUUGUGGGGGUGGACCCGAAGCCUUAACUCUUAUAAAAGGAAAGAGCUGAGCACCGGGAGAGGCAGCCCGCGCCCCGCCAAUGCCGCAUGGCUGCUUCCAUCCUAGGCUGAGAAAAUCUAUUUCUGGGAGUCUCUGACUUUAGGAGAAGGCACAACAAGGAUGUGUGGCAAGUAAACAGCUCUUUUCACCCAGUGCCUUGGAUGCAGACAAGGGGAGGAGUCGCAUGUGCCAGCCGGUCCCAGCCCAGUCCCUCCAGAGGGUGCUGGUGAGUGUCCUGAUGAUGCUCCAGCACUGAGGACAAUUUUCCAGGUAACUGUUUCUAAAUGCAGCUUGCAAGUGUCCCAUCCACGUCAGAACCCAGGCAGAGGACAGAUUGGUGGGAGCGCAUGUUAGUUGAGCAAGGGCAUGGACACAAUGGCAGUGAGUGGAGGCUAUGAAGGGAGCAUGUGGAAGGGGACAGUGGCAGGGUCAGGGAAUGUAUGGAAAGGAGCCAUUGUGUUAACCUGCUUAAAUAAAAUUGCCCCCUGCCACUUUCCACCUGUUGCUUUUGAAAACACAAAAUGAGCAAUUUCUACUCCCCUGUCCAGCCUGCCAAUCCCCCACCUUACUCAGAACCCCUGCAUGAUACGGGGGGCUGGCUAGCUCAGAGGGAUAGAGACUGGGGUAUAGGGUUGCUCCCUUCUAGGGGGCACCGGCUCCAAUCGGGCCCCAGGGAGGGGACUGGCUGGCUCACGGGGGCAGGGAAUGGGACAUGGGGCCUUUCACCUUUAGUGGACCUUGGCACCAGUCUGGCUUCAAGGCAAGGGGACUGGCUGGCUCGGGGGGUUAGGAAUGAGCUCUGGGGCCUGUCCUUCCUAGAGCACCCUGACUGUGUGUUUUCUAUUAGUGUUUUCAGUGGGUUCUGCUUCCAGUUCUGGCGCAGGGGGCUAGUGGUUUAGACUGGGGGUCCUGGAAGCCAGCACUCCUGGGUUCUAUCCCCCCCCUGCAGAGUGGGGAUCACACACCCCUGCCUUAGUCUGGCUGUGUUGCUCUGUGGCUCCCAGAAGGGCUGAAGGACUGUGCCGCCCCACCCCCCCAAUUGCCAUCGGCGUCUUUACCCCACCAAAAAAGGCUCUUUGCUCCUAUUUUUAGCCCCACUCCCAGGUUUUAUAUAGCUCUGAACAUUCAUGUCUCCCUGCGUCCCCCGCUGGCGCGGGAGGGGAGAGCGAGAAAAAUAUCUACCAAGGUCCCUUCUUCAUCGAAAAUAUCUCAGCAGUUGCCAUGGAGACCCGCCCACAGCUUCACCUCCCAGCACAAGAGGCUUCGCAAUACAGAGGGGCUGGAGGCUUUUUAUAGACCCAAUGUGCGAAAGGAGAUGGGGGCCGGGGGGGCCAGAGCCAGUGGGAUUGGCUAGCAGCCCCCCCCACCCCAGCGUGGGAAGUUCAGACCCAGCCACCCCCAUCUAUCCAUCAAUACAAAUGCAGAAUGGGGUUUCAGGAUUUGAAUGGGCUGGUUCUUCAUUCCCACCAAGCCCAAUCUGGCCCCCAACCCCCUGCUCUAACCCACCAGCCCCACUCUCUUCCGUCUUGGAACAGAACCCAGGCAUCCUGGCUCCCAGCCCCCACUAGACCCCACUUCCCUCCCAGAACUGGGAACACAAUAUAGACUUUACACCUUCCCAGGAAUGAUGCACCGUUAGAGACUGCUUGAGAGAGGAGGGCAAUACUGGACAAGGCGGUCUCACGUGGUUGACCCAGGAGACUGGGGAAGAGGAAGUGAAUAGUGCCUCCAAUGUCAUAUUGUUCUAGGGCUGCCCUCCUGCAGGCAGCCUUCCCUGUCAAACUCCUUCGCCACUGCUGUGAACUAUUAAACAUCUGCCACCCCAGAGGUGGCAGCAUCUCCGUGCUGGGCAAGGGAUUCCCAUAUAAACAGCCCACACCCCACCCCAGCGAGGGUUAUAUCUUAGGACUGGUUGAGGCAUCCCUGUAGAAACAGCCGCCAUACCCCACCCCAGAGGGGGCUGCAUCUUAGCACUGGGUGAAGCGUACCUGUAGAAACAGCCCGUGUCCCACCCCAGAGGGCACUGCAUCUGAGCACCGGAGUGAGGAGUCUCUGUAUAAACAGCUGUCACACUCCAGAGGCAGCUGCAUGUCAGUGCUGGAGGAAUUGACUCAUUCAUAUGCUGGUCAGGUGCUUUGAGACCCAAAUUGGGAGGAAUUCUGAUUAAAAAGCCAGCAGUUCAUGGAGCUAUUUUUGAAAACACAAGGAGUAAAUAAAAGGCAAAAUAGCAGAGGCUGAAAUGAAUCUAUUUUAAAACCCUCACGCCCAAUUUCCUGCGAGUCCUGGGGCGAGGACAUCGUGCUGGACCCAACCUGCGCUUUUAUAGACAUAAUCAAGCCAGAAUGCAACCUACAGACAGCUAAAUGUGUCUGACAAACACUCCGAUACAGCAAUGAGGAGAGCCACGCAGCUCCAAGCUAUUAUAGAACAGUACCUGCCAAUCCCAGAGCACUAUGCUUAUACAUGGACUUGAAGACCCCUCAUUCAGCACUGAGAUGCAGCCACCUCUGGGGUGGAGUCCAGAGGCUGUUUAUACAGGGAUCCCUCACUCGGAGCUGAGAUGUGACCACUGCUGAGGUGGGAUGCAGGGCUGUUCACACAGGGAUCCUUGCAGUUGCUUCUGGAGUGUGACAAAGCAUAUGGCCGACUGAUGCAUAGAAAUGCUCUACCAUGGUUCAUAAAAAGAAGGAGCAUUGCAGGGUAUUGUGGCCAGCCCUGACUGUGAGCUCCCCAUCCCACUCCUUGCACACAGCACCCCCUAGGGCAGGACUGGGGCACUAGGGUCAGCCCUGACUGCAAGAGGAGAGCACCAGCAAUGAGUUACGUCAGAGCUCAGCAUCCCCACGGCUGCUCCUUGCUUUAGAUCCAGGGUGACCAAGAGAGAAGCAGAACUACGCUAUAGCAACAGAGAGGGGGAGGGAGGUAUUUUUGGGAGGGAUGGACGGAGGAGUGUGAGCUGGAGGGUUGGCUCAUCCCCCCGCCCCCUGCUCUCAGUCCCUUUCCAGCCUGCGGCCAUGG
Molecule: non-coding RNA, 3126 nt
Organism: Chrysemys picta bellii (western painted turtle)
Lineage: Eukaryota; Metazoa; Chordata; Testudines; Emydidae
Source: RefSeq, a predicted model, not a curated record